RNAcentral lists this transfer RNA (85 nucleotides) under Felis catus (domestic cat). It matches the Rfam family "tRNA". From Rfam's summary of the family: Transfer RNA (tRNA) molecules are approximately 80 nucleotides in length. Their secondary structure includes four short double-helical elements and three loops (D, anti-codon, and T loops). The record is from Rfam by way of RNAcentral. RNAcentral also lists the same sequence under 2 other names. Lineage: Eukaryota; Metazoa; Chordata; Mammalia; Carnivora; Felidae.
GCCUGGGUGGCUCAGUGGGUUGGGCAACUGACUUCAGCUCAGGUCAUGAUCUCACGGUUCGUGGGUUCAAGCCCUGCAUCAGGCU